GUCCCUCAGUACAAAUGAUGUUAUUUUACUUUAUUGCUACAUUUAUAUCUCACAUAUCACGUGGUUCUUCCCCUCCUUCCCAUAUCACCAAAGUCUUGGCUGAGUGGGGAUUUCAACCGUCAUCUCCCAGGUCUUAGUCCAACACUCUAACCACUACACCACAUGGAGGAUUCUUUGAAACCUCUUCUGAAGCAGCAAUGGACUGGAUAUAUGUAUGCACAUGUGGCUGUGGAAAGUCAAUACAAUCUAUAUUUUUGUGCAUGGAUAUUUACAUACCCAUCCCUUGGUUGCAACCAUUCUGUGAUGUUAAUAGUAUUUGGCGCUCUUGUUACAACCAGUAGCAUUUGGCUGACUGGGAUGCCGAGAGGAUAAUGGUGAUGAUAAAUGUUCAUAAAUAUUCUUAUCAGGGAAGUAUAAAAUGAUUGCCAUAGGAAAUGCCAGAUCUACCAAUGCACCCAAUGCAGAUGGGGGGGGGGGAGGUGUGAGACAGAAACUUUUCUUCUCCCCCUUUUGCCCCUUCCAUUGAGCUGUGUGGGAGGGAAUGAACUACAUCAGUUCCAAGGCUGAGCCCCACUUUUUUUUGGUCAAGGUCUCCCCACCACACCUCCAGAAUACUCUGUUUUAACCCCAUUGCCAGACAGUCACCAUUGGCGAUACAUCAUAGGAAGCUGUCUUCAAUUGAGUCAGGCCCAUUGCUCCAUCUAGCUCCAGGAUUUCAGACAUGGGACAAUUCCCAGCCCAACCUGGAGAUAUGAGGGAUUGAACCUGGGAUCUUCUGCAUGCAAGACAGAUGACAUACCACUCACCCACGGCCUACAUGAAUGCCCAUGAGACAUUCCAGUGGGGGAACACCAGGCGUUGAAGCUCCAGUUAGUGUAUGUGCUGUUCUACUGAUGGGCGUUCCUCUCCAGCCACUUAACACCAAUUCCAACAAUCCUUUACAACUGGAUUUCUCCCUAACCAUCCAGUCUAUGUUUAUUCAGGAGUUAGCCUCAUUAAACCCAUUGGGACUUAUCUAUGACUUAUCGCGGCUAAGGGCUCACCCACACUUUCACUUGAACCAUGCCUAGAAAGCGCAAGUUUGAGGGCUUUCCCACUUGUCUCCUCAUGUCCGAGUGGUUUUUCGUAUGUCCCACCAAUUUCCCUGGGAAAACAUUUGUUCUGAUUCAGUGGCGGGACGAGUGGAAGUGUGGUUGGGUAUUACACUGGUAGAAAGACUGCUUCCAACUAACCAUUGGUUCGUUUGCCAACACUAUGCAAAUAAUUCAAGAAUAUCUUAUGUUUUCUGAUGGCACAUAGUUUUUGUGUCAUCUAGUUGACCCUGGGAAGCAGAUCAAAAUUAACAGACAGCAGCAUCAGCCUUUGAAGCCUUGACAAAGGGAAGUAAUCAAGAUAUUCCAGAAGUUGUCAUCUCGACAAAGGGUGAAACAUCCAUGGGUGAAGAAGAUCUGUAACUAUGGGCAUCAUGAGAAGCAAUCUGGGAUCUUUCCUGGCAUAAUACUUAAUGGCCAUGCAUUGCCUAGUAAUACCAAACAGAACAGAGCCACAAUAGUUUCUAGCAAGAAUGAUCUGUGCUAUGUUUUGCUCCCAACCCUCCCCUAGUUCUGUGUUCCCAUGACACAUGUGGGUAGUGCAUACCAAUGUCAGGGAAAUAAAUGUAAUUCUGAUUUAUGGGUGUUGUGUAUUUUUAUCCUUUCCCUUUCCUCUGUUACUCCCUAAGGCCUGACAUAUUCCCUGCUCUCUGAGAGCAAAUACCCAAGUGAGAUGGAUGUGGCGAGUGCACAGAUAACAAGGAGGCAGUUGCCCUGGCAACAGAAGUCCAUGAAAACAUUCUGAGCAUCUUCUGCCUACUGCUCACUGUCCUUUGCACAGUGGCUGAAACAAGAAACAGAUGUUAAAUCUCAGCCCUGGGUUUUUUUGGAAGCUGCAAUUCAUGAGCAAGUAGCAGAGAUAGCCCAUAUGUUUGCACACUAAUUAUCUCUUGCUCCCUACGUACAACACUGGGUGCAAUGGCCAAGUAGGGAUAGCCACUUAACUCUCUUCCUUGAGCCGUGAUAGCAAGGCUUGCACAGCACUGUGCUUCCAUGGAGGGUUUUGAAAACAGUCACAACAUGCCUGAAAAACCAGUUCCUAGAAAUGUAGCAAGGAAAUUCUGUAAUUAAAGAAGAUGGCUCAAAAGGUCUUGGGCCAUUCCUUGGAGGUGCUAUGAAGAUAGGCAUGCCUGGAGGCAAGGGGUGGGAGCACUGACCACCAGCUUUUCAUGAUGUUGCAGUGGGUGGCUAUGGACUGCAUAGUUGUGCCGAUCCGCCCCGCUGAAUCAUGGUGAUUUCAUCCCACAUCAGCUGAUGCUUUGAUGACAUCCAGAUGUCUGCUUCACAUGCAGAGAGCCAGAAAGCUUCCACUGAUCUUGGAACUGGUACUUGGUUACUCCAGAGGGCAGGGCUAGAACCUAUGGAUGGAAAUUCUAGGGAAGCACAUUUCAGCUAAACAAGUGAGGUCCUAAGAGCUGUUGGACAGUGGGACAGACUGCCUGGGGAGGUGGCUGGCUCCUCCUUCGCUGGAGGCAUUUAAGCAGGGGCUAGAUGGGCAUCUUUCAGAGAUGCUGUAGCCACAUCCUGCAUCUCAGGUCCUUAACUGAGCAAGGGAGUUGCGUUAGAGGCCCUCCAAAGUCCCAUCUGAAAGUCUAUGGAUCUACAAAAGGCAGUAGCAGCAGAGGCUGGUCUAUUAGGAUGAAGGUGUUGAGAUGUGUCCAAGGAAACAGUGGCAAUUUGCAGGCCCCCAGCUGGCUCCAGCCCACCGGCCGGCAGCCGGGUGAUCUCCGGUCCUUGGCAUAGCAUGAAACAGUGACCCACAGCUUCAGAACUCUUCAGAAGCUGGAGCAUGCUCUAAUCAGCAGAGUAAUUAACUCUUCGCAACAGAAGGGCAGAUGGAGGCAUAUGUAAAGCAGUUUAUUCAGGACAAAGGGAAAACAUGACUUCUCCCUUUCAUGUCCAAGCAAGCAGCAUAAGCAAAAGCUAUACACAAAAUGGAAGUUCCCGGAAAGCUGUGCUGGACUGUGAACAGGCAUGUGACACACAACAAUCAUGCCUGUUUUUUUUUAAGGUGGAACGGAAUAUCCUGACAGAAGGGGCACCACUCCACUAACUUCAACUUGACCUCAGCCAGUCCCGACUUGCCUGCCCAUACUUGCAACCAGUCCAGAGGAUGGAACUGCUUGUCAGCUUCCUCCCUUCAGUCUCAGGGCUUAUGUACACUUCCUCCUUUCCUGCUGCUUCCCCCCGGGGAAAACCUCUCUUUAGCACUUAAACGGAGCAAACAGUAGUUUGGGUUUUCACGAGCCCUGCUUCACACUCUCUGUGCUUAUUUCAGCUGGAAUGUGUCCUUGACUUCUGAUAAUGUCUCUCGCUUCUCUGGAUGGAGGCUAGAGAGUGGUGUGGGUGGAGAAACUACCCUGAAAUAUAAAAAAGGUGAAUUUUACAUUCGUCACUCCUCGCUUUUGCCUCUAGCCCUGCCCAACAUUGGUAUUUGGAAGGUUGUUCAGAAGGGAAUGUAGCCUUCAGUCUGAAAUUGUUCCCCAUCCCUGUAACAGCAGAACCAAAACAACGGUCAUGCCAGAAGGGGUGGAGUUUUGAACCAACACGGAACGAGAAUGAGCUGUAAGUAUUAUUCAAAAUACUUCAAAAGCCACACAUUCUGCAGCAAUGGACUGGAGCGUCCCUUCUGGAGGUCAAGGCUCAUCACCAAAUUGCAGAAGGAGAUGAAAAAGGCUCCAGUCACAUCCAGUGUCAGUUGGGGAAUGGGUUAAGCUUGGAUUUUGCAGAGGCUUUGGCUGUGGGAGCUACUGUGCGUGGAAUUGAAACGGCAGAGUUGUUUAGUGGGCAGAUAUAAGCUCAUCCUCCUGAACGAGAUUCUCAGGAAACCUUCUGCGGAAACGAAUGAAAUUGCUUCAUAUUUUUUUUUAUCAGUGCUUGACCAGAGUGAACCGGCAGGCCAUAGCUUUAGGCAUUUCAGUUAAUCUGGUCCCCUCCUCCUCUUCCCCAUAUCUAACUGAGCCAAGACAAGUCCAUAGCCAGAAAUCUGGUUGGAAGCCAGCUUUUACAGUAAGUAACGGCCGUGCAGUGGAAUGACACAAUUUGGCUGAAACAAGGCAAUAAUGGGAGAAUCCAAAAUACAUUGAGGUGACCUUGCCUGAGAGUUUGAUGGAGCGUCAGCAAAAGACAUGCAGAGAGAGAAGAGGGUACAAAUUCUAAGACUCAAAAAAAGCAGAAUUGGGCAGGGGAAAAUGUACAAUUGUUGUACAAUGUUGUGAGCCCGAAAGACCUUUUCUGAUACAUCUCCAGAUCUGUGCUUUGACUCCAUGUGGAGGGGCUGUGCUCAGUAGGAGAACACAUGCUGUGCAUGCAGAAGGUCCUGGUCUCAGUCAUCAACAUCUACAGGCAGGGAUUGGAAAGACUCCAAGAGCUGCUGUUGGUCAGUACAGACUAGGGUGGAGGAACCUUUAUUGGAAAAUGAUGCUCUGGUUAAAAUAUAACAUUCCAUGUUUGCUAGGUGAGCACAGGGUUAAACACACAGAGUUCUCUGUAAAUUCCUAGAGGACACUCUUUGAGGUCACAUCCUCUGCUUGCACAAGUGGGAAGGGUAACUAUAGGAACAUAAUCCUUAUCACUUCCACCUCAGGAGCACUCUCUUUCUCGUGAUACAGCCAAAGGCAUAGGAUGAAGGAUUUGUGCAUCCCUGAGCAGACGCCAUCUUUGAUCUAAACCAUGUAUUUUGUAAUCUAGAAAAAUAUUUUGCCUGACUUAUUUCACUGCUAUUUCCUGCUUAAAUUGAGUCUGCAACUAUGUAAGUAAAUAUAUAUCCUUAUAGCAUAGACUUCUGUGUUGUUAUUUUGUUUAAAGGGGAAGAUCCUGUUCCUAGUUUCCAUACAUACUCAUCCAACACUCUCUUCUCCAUCCAGGCAAAUAAGAAGGCAUUGUCAGAAUUCAAGGACAUAUUCCAGUCAGGCAAAAAGCUAUCAAUGAGAGUGUGAAUCAUGGCCAGCAGGGAUGUGAUCUGGGAAAAGUGCCAAAAGCCAGAGGCCUAGAGGGUCGCAUGUCUCCCGUGAAUGGGAGGUUUCACACCCAUGCUCUAUACAUUGGUUUUCUACCACUUUAGCUGGACUGGCUUCCCCCAAAGAAUCUGGGAAAUUAUAGUUAGUGGUGCCAGCCUAAAAUGGCUUGUGGCACUCCUGAGGAAAAGCUGAUUUCUUUUUCAAGGAGGUCUUCCCAGGCACAGUGCUGCUGAACUGAGACCUCUGCAGAGUUAUGUGAGGACUGUUGUGUAUAUAAAUAAAAAUAAAAUUUGAU
Molecule: non-coding RNA, 5345 nt
Organism: Podarcis lilfordi (Lilford's wall lizard)
Lineage: Eukaryota; Metazoa; Chordata; Lepidosauria; Squamata; Lacertidae
Source: the annotation of a GenBank genome assembly